Molecule: ribosomal RNA, 253 nt
Filed under: uncultured bacterium
Lineage: Bacteria
Also listed under: 1 other name
Description: partial 16S ribosomal RNA
Rfam family: Bacterial small subunit ribosomal RNA
Source: RNAcentral
UACGGAGGGUGCGAGCGUUGUCCGGAAUCAUUGGGCGUAAAGGGCGCGUAGGUGGCCCGGUCAGUCAGUGGUGAAAGCGCGGGGCUCAACCCCGCGUCGGCCAUUGAUACUGCUGGGCUUGAGCACUGUAGAGGCAGGCGGAAUUCCGGGUGUAGCGGUGGAAUGCGUAGAGAUCCGGAAGAACACCGGUGGCGAAGGCGGCCUGCUGGGCAGUAGCUGACACUGAGGCGCGACAGCGUGGGGAGCAAACAGG